Molecule: ribosomal RNA, 396 nt
Filed under: soil bacterium 5V-12
Lineage: Bacteria
Description: bacterial SSU rRNA
Rfam family: Bacterial small subunit ribosomal RNA
Source: RNAcentral
UCAGAACGAACGCUGGCGGCAGGCUUAACACAUGCAAGUCGAGCGCCCCGCAAGGGGAGCGGCAGACGGGUGAGUAACGCGUGGGAACGUACCCUUUGCUACGGAAUAGCUCCGGGAAACUGGAAUUAAUACCGUAUGUGCCCUUCGGGGGAAAGAUUUAUCGGCAAAGGAUCGGCCCGCGUUGGAUUAGCUAGUUGGUGGGGUAAAGGCCUACCAAGGCGACGAUCCAUAGCUGGUCUGAGAGGAUGAUCAGCCACAUUGGGACUGAGACACGGCCCAAACUCCUACGGGAGGCAGCAGUGGGGAAUAUUGGACAAUGGGCGCAAGCCUGAUCCAGCCAUGCCGCGUGAGUGAUGAAGGCCCUAGGGUUGUAAAGCUCUUUCACCGGAGAAGAUA